UUUUUUUUUUCGUUUUUUUUUUUAACUUAUUUUUUUAAUUACUCAAUGAAUUUAUUGCAUUUAUAGUUGUCCAGUGAUUAUCACCAUCCAAUUUUGUAGGAUUUCCAUCCCACAACCCCAGCGCAUUCCCCCCGGCAACUGUCUUCCUUUGACAAGGUGUCAUUUUCAAAUGGCUCGUGGCUGAAUGCUGACAACAAGGGCUCAGGAAUAUCCGGGGAGAAUUGCGUGGGAAUCAGGUAGGGAGACAGGUGAGAGGCAAAUUAAAAUCCUUAUAGCUCGUCUUCAACUUGGAGCCAGUUAAUACGCUGUGGCAGAGAUGGCAGAUUUUAUGGUUACGAAAUACCCACAAAACAGCAGGGGGUGGGGCUUUGACAGGAUCUGGCAUAAUGACCAAGUUAUUAAACAUCAAGCAGGAACUGGCUCCCCCGCUCACUGCCCCACCUGAGAUUUCUCCAGGGAAAAAGCCUAACUGCAGGCAAAAACAAGAUCCUCCCCUCAAAGCAAAUCCAGCCCUAAGAGUGGCAGGUCCCAUGAUGAAGACUGACUCUGGAUGCCCUCAACCUUAUGAUUCGCCACGUGAACUGCCGAGCCAGGAAACACCAUAUGGGAGACGCGUGACUAAUGAAGAAACCCAGUCCCCAGGGACAUGCUGUUGGAGGGAACCAGCCACCAAGUUUGCCCCAACGUGAAAGUUCUAGCCUGGCAUGGUUCCGGCUGACGCCAUCCAUGAUUAGAACCUAAAAGAAGACAUGAGCUGUGGGGAAAGGGGCUCCCGCCUUUCCCCUGGGCUAAAGGGGGUCUGGUGCUCUUCUGAAAGCAGGAUUCUAAGAGAUGCUAACAAAGGCCUCAAAGCCAGAAGCUGAGCACAGGGUCAUUGGCACAGUGCCUGCUUCAGCUUGACCCAAAGACUUUCCAAGCCCAGCCAUGCUUUCAUAGGCAUCGGAAGAGGUUUCUCUAUGUCGACCCGGUUCUGGGAGUCCAGACAAUUGUAGAAUACAAACCAGAUGGGGAAAAGUGGUCGUUUCUAUAGUUCCAUGUCUAUAUACGCCACUUGGAAAAGAGCCAGUUUGUUAAAAACAAAAAAACUUUAGUUUUGCUAAAAGGCUCUAAACAGAGACUGCUGCUGAGCAGGGUCAGAAUUAACUCAAUGUUUGGGUUGAUUCUUUGGUUGGCACCUACUUGUUUCAUGAUAUAUGAGAAUCCAGAUGAUAAAUAAGCAUAAAUCUAAUUGUUAGUAUUAUUUUUUUUUUUCCUUUUUAGGGCUGCACCUAUGGCAUAUGGAAUUUCCCAGGCUAGGGGUCCAAUCAGAGCUGC
RNAcentral lists this long non-coding RNA (1314 nucleotides) under Sus scrofa (pig). RNAcentral describes it as "lncRNA (ENSSSCG00050023758.1)". Lineage: Eukaryota; Metazoa; Chordata; Mammalia; Artiodactyla; Suidae. The record is from RNAcentral.